UACGGGGGGGGCAAGCGUUGUUCGGAAUUACUGGGCGUAAAGGGCUCGUAGGCGGCCAACUAAGUCAGACGUGAAAUCCCCAGGCUCAACCUGGGAACUGCGUCUGAUACUGGAUGGCUUGAAUCCGGGAGAGGGAUGCAGAAUUCCAGGUGUAGCGGUGAAAUGCGUAGAUAUCUGGAGGAAUACUGGUGGCGAAGGCGGCAUCCUGGACCGGCAUUGACGCUGAGGAGCGAAAGCCAGGGGAGCAAACGGG
Molecule: ribosomal RNA, 253 nt
Filed under: uncultured bacterium
Lineage: Bacteria
Description: partial 16S ribosomal RNA
Rfam family: Bacterial small subunit ribosomal RNA
Source: RNAcentral